AGUUGGAUUCUGCUGCAAUUGCCAUCAUGAUGAAGAUCAGAAGGCAGAGCAGAAACAGGCUGCUUUCCCCUCUCAUAGCUGGUUUAAUGAGAUUAUAGCUUGUGCUGGCUACUCCUUUUUUUCUGUUACAGAUGGCUACAUCUUUCAUUGUAAUUUGUGGCACUAUCUGGUGGUUUGAAUGAGAUGUCUCCCACUCUCUUGAGUAUUUGAGUACUUUGGUCCUUAGUUUGUGGUGAUGACUGUGGAGGCUUUUGAAGUAUGGUCUUCUUAGAAAAGGCACGUCUUUGGCAGCAUUCUUUGAGAGUUUAAAGACUUGCUAUUUCUAGGAACUUGCUCUCUCUGCUCCCUGUUUGCAGUUCAAGAUGAGAGUCCUUAUCUUCUUGGUCCUGCCACCGUGUGUUUGCUCUGUCUUUAUGGAUUCUAGCCCUCUGGAAUGGACUGUAAAAAAUUCCCAGUGGGCCCGGAAACAAAACUACAUUAGUAUGUGUGAAAGCCAAAUGAUAGGUGGAUAUUCUGCAAUGCAGUCACUCUAGCUGGUUACCGGCCUUCUUUAUGGAAGAGGAAGAGGAAACUCAAGGGCACACAGAGAGGCAAGGGCAACGUCCUUCGAUUCACAUACAAGAUCUGAGACUCCUAAGCCCCUGCUCCUUAUGUCACUGGAUAAAUCCUGCUGGCCCAGCCAGGCAAUUGCCAAGAGCAUCUGGCUUCUCAUCAAUCACUGCAACCCAUGGCAGGAAGAAGCAGAAAUAAACCUACAGGCAGGGGUUCCUGGAAUUAAGAGCCGAAGUCAUCGGAAGAUCAAGCCUGUGUCUGUAUCCUGGCUCAGAUAUUUCUCACUCUCUUCCCACCACCUCUGUCCCUUAGCCUUACU
Molecule: long non-coding RNA, 871 nt
Organism: Grammomys surdaster
Lineage: Eukaryota; Metazoa; Chordata; Mammalia; Rodentia; Muridae
Exons: 3
Source: RefSeq, a predicted model, not a curated record